GUCCACGCCCUAAACGAUGUCGACUGGUUGUUGGGGGUUUGACACUCUCAGUAACGAAGCUAACGCGUGAAGUCGACCGCCUGGGGAGUACGGCCGCAAGGUUAAAACUCAAAGGAAUUGACGGGGACCCGCACAAGCGGUGGAUUAUGUGGAUUAAUUCGAUGCAACGCGAAAAACCUUACCUACCCUUGACAUGUCCGAGAGCCUGGAGAGAUCCGGGUGUGCCCGAAAGGGAAUCGGAACACAGGUGCUGCAUGGCUGUCGU
RNAcentral lists this ribosomal RNA (265 nucleotides) under uncultured bacterium. RNAcentral describes it as "partial 16S ribosomal RNA". It matches the Rfam family "Bacterial small subunit ribosomal RNA", at positions 793 to 1055 of the family's 1533-position model. The record is from RNAcentral.